GACGAACGCUGGCGGCGUGCCUAAUACAUGCAAGUCGAACGCUUCUUUCCUCCCGAGUGCUUGCACUCAAUUGGAAAGAGGAGUGGCGGACGGGUGAGUAACACGUGGGUAACCUACCCAUCAGAGGGGGAUGACACUUGGAAACAGGUGCUAAUACCGCAUAACAGUUUAUGCCGCAUGGCAUAAGAGUGAAAGGCGCUUUCGGGUGUCGCUGAUGGAUGGACCCGCGGUGCAUUAGCUAGUUGGUGAGGUAACGGCUCACCAAGGCCGCGAUGCAUAGCCGACCUGAGAGGGUGAUCGGCCACACUGGGACUGAGACACGGCCCAGACUCCUACGGGAGGCAGCAGUAGGGAAUCUUCGGCAAUGGACGAAAGUCUGACCGAGCAACGCCGCGUGAGUGAAGAAGGUUUUCGGAUCGUAAAACUCUGUUGUUAGAGAAGAACAAGGACGUUAGUAACUGAACGUCCCCUGACGGUAUCUAACCAGAAAGCCACGGCUAACUACGUG
RNAcentral lists this ribosomal RNA (508 nucleotides) under uncultured bacterium. Its description in RNAcentral is "partial 16S ribosomal RNA". It matches the Rfam family "Bacterial small subunit ribosomal RNA", at positions 28 to 507 of the family's 1533-position model. The record is from RNAcentral.